AGCAGCCGCGGUAAUUCCAGCUCCAAUAGCGUAUAUUAAAGUUGUUGCAGUUAAAAAGCUCGUAGUUGAAUUUCGGGGUUAGUAGGCUGGUCGUGCCACUGGUAUGUACUGGUCUUACUGACUUCUCCUUUCUGAAGAACUGUAAUGCCAUUAAUUUGGUGUUGCAGGGAAUCAGGACUGUUACUUUGAAAAAAUUAGAGUGUUUAAAGCAGGCUAACGCUUGAAUACAUUAGCAUGGAAUAAUGAAAUAGGACGUUCGAUCCUAUUUUGUUGGUUUCUAGGAUUGACGUAAUGAUUAAUAGGGAUAGUUGGGGGCAUUAGUAUUCAAUUGUCAGAGGUGAAAUUCUUGGAUUUAUUGAAGACUAACUACUGCGAAAGCAUUUGCCAAGGAUGUUUUCAUUAAUCAAGAACGAAAGUUAGGGAUCGAAGACGAUCAGAUACCGUCGUAGU
RNAcentral lists this ribosomal RNA (450 nucleotides) under uncultured Glomeromycotina. RNAcentral describes it as "SSU rRNA". It matches the Rfam family "Eukaryotic small subunit ribosomal RNA", at positions 569 to 1024 of the family's 1831-position model. Lineage: Eukaryota; Fungi; Glomeromycota. The record is from RNAcentral.